CUAUGUUUCACUCUGAGACCGCUUGCCGAUCAAAUUCCAACCCACUAUGGAUCAGACAUGGAUGUUGAAAUGGGUGUGGAUAUAAAGGAUGUUUUUAUGUUGCAAUAGAAGAGCUCCUAUAACAAUAUCUGAAAGGUUGUACAAAUCUCUGUGGACACAACAGAAUUCUCCUUUCCACACUGCCUGCACCACCUUUGAUAGAAACACCCCUAGACUGAAAUGUUAAAUCGUUUUAAAGUUUUUUUUUUUAAGAGGGCAUAAUGUCUUUCAAAUUCAGAGUGAAAUGAGGUGACACAUUUUCUCAGGGGUUAUUGAAGGAGUGAUGUGGUGUGCUAAUAUUCACCCAGAGAGACAAAGAAGCACACUUCAAAGAAGUCUCGUUGUGCCCAAGGUUGUGAUUUAGCCUCAUUUCCUUCUCUAAUGGAAAUGUCAAACAGCUAAUGCUUACUGUAUGACUAGUAUGGACCGUAAUGCUUUCUCUCUCCCUGUCGGUCUCUGUCUCUGUCCCCUCUCUUCUAUAGGCAUAUGAGGUGGAGGACCUGACUGCAACAGACAUCCCCUGACUGCUCUGUGUGUCUAGACACAACACCUACAGAUGCUGCUGGCUUUAGGAGGAGGGCUUGGUGGCUCCCACCCCUAAAGGCACUAAAUGGGGUCUAGCUGGUUCCAGUGUGAACGUGGGCAGUAUUCCCAGGAACCUCCUGCACCAAGCCUCUGCUGGGAAAAGCCCUCCAGGAUGCCCGGAAGUACGGCUGGAGGUUUGAGUAACAGGUGUCCCAUGGCUGGGGUGAAAUGGUGGAGGCGGUACAACAACGUGAAGUCUGUGAGCUUCGAGCUGAGGAGGGAGCUGAGGGACAGUGACGUCACCUACCUGAACACCCAUGGAGAGAUACUGGAGCCACACACUGUACAGGAGCGUGUGGUAGGUCUCCAUUUGAUGGGGCCCAGUGCAGGGGAGGUGAUCCAGGGCUUUGCUGUGGCUCUGAGGUGUGGUCUGAUCAAACAGCAGCUGGACAAGACUUUGGGACACCUCUGUGGGACUCCACUCUGUUUGUGCCCAGGUGUUGACCAAACUGACAGUAACUCAGCGUGCCACUGACACCAUGAUGGUCAGAGGGAACUGCUGAGGUUAGCCCCCUGCUGUCAAUCACUGUUGUCCAAGGCAACGGUACAGAUAGCAGGGAGAAGCCAGUCAGAACAUCCUCAUUGUUGUGUGACGGGCAGCUAUCAGCCGUCUAAUGACCUCUGAGUCCGGAGCCUGAUUGACAGGUGGGCGGGGACUGACACUGUUGCUGCUGGCCCUAGACACUGGGGUCACUUCCUGUUUACAUGUUUUUUUCUUCUCUUUUAAACUCUUUCUUUUGCCAUAUUAAUGAACCAAACUUUGAUAUUAACCUGCGGAGGCACCUCUGACACUUUUCAGCUGUGAACUCUGCAGUCCAUAUGAAUACUCAUUAGUCUGUGACUGUACUGACUCAGUUUAAUGGCUGCUGAGUAGCGAUAAAGCCCUGAUUGAGCAUUUAAAUACUGUAGAAACACAGUUCAUGCUUUUAUGCAGGGUUCUGUAGCUAUGGGCUGAAGGGAUUUAAGUGCCAUAAUGUAAUGUACUGAACAGAUCGAGAUUAAACUAUUAUCAGAAUGAAGAAAUAUUCAUUAAUAAAAUGCUCUUACUUUUAAUUAAAGUAAGUGGUUCACAUAGGGAUACAUUAACCUAAGAUUACAAUCUCUUUUUCUCUCUCUCUCACUAUCUCCAUUUGUCAUUCUCUCUGUCUCAGUUCUGCAGGACAUAGUGACUGACUUAAACACUGUGAUGAAUAUUCACAGGGAUCAUUAGUAAGGUCUCUCAUACUAAUGGGAGGCUACAACACCUAGAAUGAUAUAUAACCCCCCCCCCCCUAAUAAGGCUAUUAUCAUCCAUCACUUCAGACACAAAUGUUACCUACAAUUCAGACUAAGCACGUGUGUGUGCAUGUGUUUGCGCUGUUUCUCUCUCUUUUAUGCAGAUACUUUUUCACCUGUCAGCACAUAAUCACCAGGAUAUGUCCCCGUGGAACAUUGUAGAGGCAUGCUUCACUAACUAUUAGUUCUGCUUGAGGAAGACAUGUUUUAUUACUGCUUACAGUACAGCUUGUCCUCUAGACAACCGUGCUGUUUAUUCCUUAUGCAGACACAUUGAGCAUUCAGAGACUGAGACUGAUGUACCAAUAAGGGAAAGUACACCAGUCUACAAACGCUAUUAGAAUAUAAUUAGAUCAAUAGGAGGAAAGCAGAACAGUUUCUGUCUGGAGAUGUAUUUGAUAUCACCCAGAACAAGUUAUUAGGAAUUACCAUUCAUCUAUGUCUUCAAUUGUCCUAGUUAUGAUCAUAUAACGAUACAUUGAUUCACAUGUUUGUCACUUUGCUUUGGGAUCUUUUCAGAAGUUGUUUCCAUUGGUUUUUAGAAUAGAUCACUGUGGACUUGCUCAAUAAAGAUCCACAGUGAAGGUGUCCUAAUACCCAUAAAACCUAGCAGUCAAACAGGAAAAUGGUUCCAAUCGUUUUUUCCACCAUUCAUUUUUCCCAUUGUGGUUUUUAGAAACACUUAAAAUAAAGGCUGUGUUUCAUGUAGACUUACCAUGGCAUGACAUUUUGAUAACCAUGUAAAUCUCUUUCAGACAAGCCCCAUAUUUUUUGGGGUGGGGGGGGUUGCCUGUUUUGCAUGUUAUUUUGGCAUUAAUAUGUGUCACAUAUCAGUUUGCAAACAAUGUAAAAGAAAAUAUAGAAAUAUCAUUGAGUUAAUAAAGCUGCAUACAAACAUAGUCUCUUUUU
Molecule: long non-coding RNA, 2808 nt
Filed under: Oncorhynchus kisutch (coho salmon)
Lineage: Eukaryota; Metazoa; Chordata; Actinopteri; Salmoniformes; Salmonidae
Description: lncRNA (ENSOKIG00005026772.1)
Source: RNAcentral